GUAAAAUAUUUCUAGAACCUAUUAUUUAUGCACUAGUCAAAAAAUUAUUUAUAGUAACUUGACAACCCCAAGGAUCUAGUCUAACAAGUACCAGAGCUUUUAAGAAUUACAAUAGGAUAAAAUUUUUACAAAGGACACAACUCCUACCAUCCGUAAAGAAGAGUCUAGGCUGCUGGAGGAAUUCUUCGUCUUCACCUAAUGAAACGUCACCAAUCCUGCAUCCAUACCAUGUCAAAAAUACAUGGAAAGAGUAGUAUCAGUAAAACCACACGUACUAUUAUGUAUCAUUUGUCAACCCGACAUCCACCUCGUAAGAUGUGAACAGAAAAAUAAAAGAUAAUGUCUGCACCCCUCGCUUCUACACCUUUAACCUUUACAUAGAAUACCUUCCAAUUACCAUUUAUCUCCUUCCUAUGAGGUUACAACCUAAUCACUUUAUAUCCUACAAGUACCACUAACAAAUUUAGGGUUUCAAUAGAUCAUAGCUUAAAUAUACUAGCCACAUUGUAUACUAAAAUUAUCAUUACCACAGUAAGGUUUCAAAAGAUCAUAGCUUAAACAUACUAACCACAUUAUAUACCACAAGUAACACUACCACACUUAAGGUUACUAGAGAUCAUAGCUUAAACAUAUGAACCACAAUAUAUACUGCAAAUAACAUUACCACACUUAUUAUUCCAAUAAAUCAUAGCUUAACCUCAACAUAUAUAUACAAUACACACUGAGAAAAAUUGAACACAAUAUAUUUCACCGUACACAUUUUAUAACAAGUAGUGGACCCUCUCAUGGGACCCAAAGUCAAACUAUUAACAUCGCGGAAUGUGACAAUCUGAUCCAAGUGUUAUAUCGAAACGUGGAAAUCGAUCUAAGUUAGAGUUCCGGAACAUGGUACCCAAUCCUAGUUAGCAUGCCAGAACGUGGCAAUCAAAGUUAGAGUGUCGGAACUUAGCAUACGAUCCCAAUCACACAUCACAAUAACACCAAGAUCACACAUUCAUGUCAUGAUUUCAUCAUAUUGAUAUUCACAUAUCUCUUUUCAACAUCUAAGACCAUUAUUGCAACAUGCAUAUGAAUACAAGUAUCACUACGAAGAAAAACACGACUAUAUCACACCAUCAUAGAAUCACAGUCAUCACCUAGUCAUAUACUCAAUUACAUAUUGGUUCUCUCGAUUUCUUCUUGUGGAGUUACAUAAGUACAAAUGCUAGUUCUUCAUAAAGUUUAAUUUCUAAAUUUAUUUACCCUUACUAGAUUAUUUUGUCACCAUUAUACCAUAACCUAAGAAAAAACCCAUUCACGAACAAAAAAUAAGAAGCUCGGUCGAUAUACCGUCUCAACUCAACACUAACCCCAUAAACAUUGAAUUAUAGCAACUUUUCAUGGAAUUUACUCGGUGCACGAAGGUCUAACAUACUUUAUACUAUUAAAUUCAUAUAUUACAUGGUAAACAUGGAUUUAUAACUACUCAACAUAAACCUAACCUACCUGCGCGCCAAGCAAUUUGUACGGGGUUUAGAUAUUGCUUCCAGCUUUUUCAAAUGCGCUACGGUGAAAUGUGACCAAAAUCUCGUAAGAUUCUGCCAUCCUUAUAGUUGAAAGUUCCCUCUCCUACUUUUCCAUACUUGAAAUAACUUUUAUGGGAUUUCUAGGUUAAUUAUGACCUAUUUGGGUAUUUUACAAGGGUGAAAAAAUAAGAAUUUCACUUAAAUAAGGUUCUGCCUUGCUGAUCUGGCUGCAGCGUUUUAUUCUUCUCAAAUAAUGACAGUUUGGGUCAUUAAAAUAGAUAUCAAUUCACCUUCCGUUAGUCCUUGAACUACUACGACUCAGUUCAUAUACGCCCAUACCACAAAACGUUUACUAGUAGCACAACUCUUACACGGAACGACAAAAGUUCGUGACUUUUAGCAAGUAUGAAACUUUAUACGGGUAAAUACGCUAAACAGAGGGUCAAAAUGUUGUACAUUGAAAGGGAUUUGAGACUUUUUGUUAGGGUAAUCUAAAAGGCACCACGAAAAGAUCUGUUGAAUUUAAGCCAUCAUUUCCCUAAAUUUCUGCCUGCUGGAGCAGCAGGCUUGCCGCUGGAGCAAGAGAUCAGGCAACAUAAAAGGAAGAAAACAAAAGGAACAAAAAGUCUCAUUUCCCUCAUACUCCUCCACCACUUUCUAUUUUCUCAUUCCCCUCCUCCAAUACAUUCCUUGCUUUCAAAACAUUACUCACUAUAGGUUACAUGCUAUAAUCAUAUUGACUAGGAGAGGUCUUUGGGUAGUUAUUUUUGAAAUUGAAUUAGUUUGUUAAAUGAAUUAGAAAAAUAUAGAAUUUUUACUUUCCUCACGUCUCCAACGUUUAUACAACUUCCUGGGCGUAAGAAUUUCAGAAAAACAAGGUUAUAUUGAUAAGAAAUGGGUGGGAGAGGUAGAAAAGUCUUCUUUCCACAAACUCAGAUUUAGACAAAAUUUUAGGGGUUGUUUGGUUGAAAUAAUUGUUAAUUUGUGUUCUAAGGUAUUUGAUAUACUCUGAUUUGUCAAAAAACUGAUAAAAUGGAUAUUUGAAACGAAAAUACAUCAUUUUCACGUAUGGAUUUUGUCCCAGAUGAAAGUCAUUGCUGUGGCCUGUAUCCUGUUAUAGCGGCCUACAUUAUCCCGCUAUAUCAGGAUGUGGACCGAUGUAGCGAGAUGGCCCUAACAAGUGGCCUGCUUCCUAUCUUCAAAUAUUUUCCUCUUUUCGUUUAAGCUUCCCCACCUGGUCUAUAUUGUUUCAACUUGUCUUUAUUCUCCACAAGUUAUCCUAAAAUUGGUGGUCAAAAUGAUGACAAUGCUCCCUUCAUCUGGUUUUCCAAUGCAGCUAGUCGAGAGAGGCACAAUGCCCAUCGCACUACUGGUUUUUCUGUGAGAGGGCGAUGGUACUUCAUAAAAUAUAAGAGAAAUAUCCUGCCUUCUAUGCCCGGUUGGUAGAGUUUGGGUGGCUUCAACCGACUGAGGCUCCCACAGAUGCCCGCACCGCCUUUGUGAGGGAGUUCUAUUGUAUCGUCCCCACAGUACGCUCAUAUGUUCCUUAUCCAUUUAUUCACAAUUGGAGAGUUGAAAUUCCCUUUAAUGUCACUACUAUCAAUGAGGUGUUGGAGGUGCCAAAAUUCCAAAACCUAGAGUUUGAGGACAAGCUUAAGGGGAUGUACCUGCAGUGGCUGCGAGAUACUAUUUGGGAUCCCACAAGAUUUGAUCAAUUUUACUGGGCUACCGCAGAGGGUAUCACUAGUAUGAACUAGUCGUAAAAUCCUAAGAAGUCUCUACACUUGGUAUCCAGGAGGAUACACCCGUCGAGCAAUCGCACCGACGUUACCUUCCCCCGGGCUUUGGUGGUGGCAUGUGCUAUUGAGAUUAAUGUGGUGGCAAAGAUUAUAUCCGAGUGGAAGAUGUUCUAUGGGGUAAACAAGAAGGAACUCUUUCUUCCAAGUCUUGUGACUGUGGUAUGCAAGUGGACCGAGGUGACCUUAUUCGAUGCGGAUGAGGUAUUACCUUUAAAUAUCCCUAUUCAGCCUUUUUUGGUUUGGGCAAUUUCUAUUUCUACCGGAAAAGAAGAAGGACUAGCAAGGCGAUUGCAGUUUUUUAUGAUGAAGAUCACUCUUAUGGGAUGAGUCGAGAUAUAUUUAGAGGCGGUAAGGAAGAAGAUGGUAAACACCUAUGCUGACUUCACUCCCGUCCACCCAGCACAUCUCUAUAGGUAGAGUUUCUCCAUCGCCACUUGCGCCACGAGAGGAAGAAGAAUUGAGUAGGGAUCAUCUCACUAUUCGACUAUGGAAAGCAGUCAAGGUCCUGUUUACAUACGUUGCUCCUGAACAAGAAUUGCCCAUAGUGGAGGAUGAGGACUAUGUACAGUUCCGGGAGGUGAGGGAGGGAGGCUGUGGUUAGUAUGGUGCCUCCGGAGGAGUUAUGUUCCGACUCCGACACCUCCUUGUUCGAGGAGUUCUAAUUUUUCCUUCAUUUUGCUCCUCUUGGGCUUGUAUUUAGGGCAAUUAGUUUAUAAUCUCUCUUUCGAUAUUACUAUGUUUUUGUAGAACAUGAAUGCUCGUUUCUUUUAUUACUAGUCAUUUUAAGUUACUUAUUGUUGUUGAAUACUGAUAUGGAGUUGCAGGGGUUGGUUAGGAUCCAUAACUGGUUAACAUUUGAAAACAGGAAAGAACGGGAAAUUUUCCUGUUGAGGUUCACCAUCUCGUGAUUAUGUUGUACCGGUACCGUGCGAGCAGGACAAAUCUCGAUUCAACGUCCGAAGCGGGACAAGAACCUGCGAAGGAAUUUCUGGGUACUGUUUCCACCUUCCACGAUUUUUCCAGGUCUCUAUUUUCACUAUCCCACCAAGCUCCCGACUUUCCCGACUAGAGUAACACGAUGUUUGACUCCUAACGUAGAAGACAACUCGACACCAUAACAACAUAUCCCUUGUAUGCACGCAGACAUUAAAACUUGCAUAAAUCUUGCGAUUUAACGGUAAUUCUACUCGUAUCGAUUUUUGAAACUCCACACGGUUUCCUUAAUUAGUUAUACUUAUUCCAACUAUGUUCUUCAGUUCGACAAUGAUUCAGGCAUUCAAAUACUCUUACAUUCAUUGAUACAUAAUUCAACACGAAGUACACAAUAGAAGAUAAAUACAAUAUCAAUCCCACAUUCCAAUUAUUUAUAGCAACAAGGGGCACACGCCACAGUUUCAAAACACAAGGAACAUGAUAUUUCAAUUAAAUACUUAGUUUUCUCCAUUGAUAACCCUUAAUUAUUAUUCAUGCUCUUUGUAGCCCCAGGUCUAGAUAUCAAUUGAAGCCUUUCAGUUCCAAUUAACUUAUUGGUGUCCUUCGGUGGUGUCAACAAUGUUAGUCUUCAUCGUCAAAUUGGAAUUGGGAGAUACCAAUUGGGAUUAACCCGUGCAAGAAAUGACACUUCGCACGAAACGAGUGAAUAAAUGAAAUGACUCCCUAGAACAUUUCCUAGCCUCUUGUAGAUUAGAUGUCCAUUUAAACACACCAAUCCACAAGAGUUUAGUUCACAUUUUACUCUUGUACAUGGAGACCGUUAACCUAGGCUAUGCUACCAAUUUUUCACAAUCCGACUCAUCAGGCCGUGCAAGCACCCACUCUGACACCUAAGUAGGAGAAUUCUCAUAUUCCAAAGGUUUAUUCAUGAGGAAAAUUAACAAAAUAGAUAUACUGUAGGGUAAAAUAUUAACUACAAACUUUUAUUGAUGCACUAAUUAAAACAUUUAGAGUAACUUGAAAACCCAAAGGAUCUAGUCUAAAAGGUACAAGAGCUAGUAAGAAUUACAAUAGGAUAAUAAUUUAUUAAAAGGACAUAACUCCCACCAUGUGGAAAUAAGAGUCUAAGAUGCUAAAGGAAUUCUUCGUCUUUACCUAAUAAAAUAUCAUAUAUCCUGCAUCCAAACUAUGUCAAAAAGACAGCAAGAAUAGUAUCAGUACAACCACACGUACUGGUAAGUAUCAUCGGUCAGCCUGACGUCCACCUCAUAAUAUUUGAACAUAACAAUAAUAGAUCAUGUCUUGACCCCUCAAUUCUCUACCCUUAACCUUUACUUAGAACACCUUCCAAUUACUAUUAUAUUCUUCCUACGAGGUUACAACCAAAAUAUGAACCACUUUGUAUCCUACAAGUACCGCUACAACCCUUGGGAUUCCAAUAGAUCAUAGCUUAUAUAUACUAGCCACAUUGUAUACUAUUAGUACCACUACAACACUUAAGGUUCCAACAGAUCAUAACUUAAACAUACUAAUAACAUUAUAUAACUCAAGCAAGAUUAUCACACUUAAGGUUCCAACAUAUCAUAGCUUAAAAAUACUAACCACAUUAUAUACCACAAAUCACACUACCAUACUUAAGAUUCAAAUGAAGAUAGCUUAACCCCCAACAACUAGAUACAUACACACACCUCACAAAAUUAAGCACAACAUAUUUCGCCGUACACAUUUUAUCAUAAGUAGUUGGCCCUCUCAUGGGAUCCAAAGUAAAACUGUUAGUAUGCAGAAUGUGACAAUCCGAUCGAAGUCUUACGUAGGACUGUGGCAACCGAUCCUAGUUACAGUAUCAAAACAUGGCAGCUGAUCAAAUUAGUAUAUCGGAAUGUAGCAAUCUGGUCCAAGUUAGAGUGCUGGAACAUGGAAGUUGAUCCCAAUCACACAUCACAAUAACAUUCCAAUAUCACACACUCAAGUCAUGAUUUCAUCAUAUCGAUACUUAUAUAUCUCUUUUCAAAAUCUAAGAACAUUAUUGCAAUAGGCAUACAAAUACAAGUAUCGCCACAAAGCAAAACGCGUAUAUAUCAAAGCAUCAUAAAAUCACAACUAUCACCUAAUAACAUACUUAAUUACAAAUGGGUUCCCUUAAUUUCUUCUUAUGGAAUUACACAAGUCAAAAUGCUAGUUUUCAUCAAGCUUUGUUUCUAGAUUUCUUUACCCUGACUACAACUCCUUAUCAACAUUAUACCAUAACUUAACAAGACACGUAUUUCAACCAAUUUACCAUCUCAAACUAACACUAACCACAUAAACAUUAAAUUAUAAUAACUUUCGACAUAAUUUACUAAGUGCACGAAGGUCUAACAUAUCUCAUAGUGUUAAAUUCAUUUAUUUCAUGGUAAGCAUGAAUUUUAUAACUACUCAGCAUAAACCUAGCCUACUUAGGCCAAGCAAUUUGUACGAGGUUUUGAUUUUGCUUCUAGCUUUUUCGGGUGCGCUAUGGUGAAUUUGUCCAAGAUCUCGUAAGAUUCCACCAUUCUUUUGCUAGAAAGCUCCCCCUUCUUGUUUCCCUAUGUUGAAAUAUUUUUUCUAGGGUUUCUAGGGUAAUUUAUGACAUAUUAGGGUAUUUUACAAGGAAAGAAAAAUAAGAAUUUCUUGUAAAUAAGGUUCUGUAUCGCUGAUCCCGCUGCAGCGGCAACUAACCCCCCCCCCCUACAACGCCAACGGCAUCCCACCGUAGGGGGACACAAUCCAGUUUUCUAUGGAGUUCUAUUCUUCUCAAAUAAUGAUUGUUCGGGUCAUUACAUGUUGUUAUAAUAAUAAUAAUGAUCAUGAUAAUGAUAAUAAUUAUGAUAAUAAUGAUAAUAAUAAUGAUAAUGAUAAAUAAUGGUAUGAUAAUAAUAAUCAUAAUAAUAAUGAUAAUGAUAAAUAAUGAUAUGAUGAUGAUGAUGAUAAUAAUAAUAAUAAUAAUAAUAAUAAUAAUAAUAAUAACAAUAAAAAUUAUGAUGAUAAUGAUAAUAAUGGUAAUACGAACAACAACAACAACAACAACAUCAACAACAAAAAUAAGAACAACAAUAAUAACAACAACAAUAGCAAUAAUAAUAAGAAUGAUAAUAUUAAUAAUAUUGAUGAUGAUAAUAUAACAGUAAUAAUGAUAAUAAUAGUAAUAUCUAAUAACAAAAUUUUAAUACCAAAUAAUCUAUGUGUAUAAGGUUUAGGUUUAUUAUACGAUUAAACUUGCCUAAUCAUAUUUUUAUUUUAUCAAAUAACUCAACUCUUGUACAAAUUCUUUUACUAUGAAAAAAAUAUUACUAUUUUUUGUAGCAUUUCACACGAAUAACUCAUGUUCUAUAUGGUCUCAUUUAUUUAUACUUAAUGGAGGUCUGAAUCUUAAUUAUUCAGAUUCAGCCUAUUAAGUACGUUUGAUUUUUAUGUCUGAAUCUGAAUCAUUAAGAUUCAGCCCAUUAAGUUUAUUUGUUUUACAUUAUAAAAAGCCUCUUAAUGGGUCUGAAUAGGUCUGAAUGAAUCAGAUUUGCAGAAAACACUUAACAAUAUUAAGACUCAUUUAAUAAGUUAUCAAAUAACAAAUCAUCGCUUCUCUAUGUCACGACCCAAAAAUGGACAUGAUGGCACUCGUCUUAUCCCACCAAGACAAGUAAGCCUAAAAGUUUUCAUAUGGCACUCGUCUUAUCCAACCAAGACAUGUAAGCCUAAAGAUUUAUUAGUUGUAUCAUAUGUUCAGAUAAUUAGAUUUGGUGUUGAAUAAGGUUUGAGAAACCAACUAGUUUGUUACUACGGAUGCUUGAGUUGAGAAGUGUAUUUAGAGGGUUCUAAAUGAGUAUCAAUAAUUUCAUCUUAAGGUCCAAGGGAAUGGAUAGAUACCAUAAUGGCAAGCUUAUGGGUAAUGAAGUCUCAGAGAGUAUACUUGUGUGGAGGAGAUUGAAACUCUUACUAAAAAGUGCAUAUGAUAUUGGGUUAGUCUAGUCAAUUUUAUUGGUAAAGUUGGUUUUGAGAUGUCAUGGCAAUGACAAAGAUUACUCUAUGGUGAUGGCAAGCGCUAAACGAGCAUAAUGGUAGUAAGAGUUUGUGAUGGAUUUAAAUUGGGAUGAGCUAUAUGACAAAGAUAGUUUGUUAAAUGGAUUUUUGUAUAGUAAUGACAACUUGCGAAUAUAUAAUGUUAUGGUUUCCUAUAGUUUGGUGAGUAGCCUGGUUUCAAGUAAAGUUAUAGGAGGUGCUGAAACACUGCUCGAAUAGAAUUUAAAGGAGCUAGAGUCAUAAUGAAAAAAUAAUAAUAAUAUAGAUAUUGGGUAAGAAUUGAGAAAGAAUCCUACACAGUUCGACUCGAGUGUGGUGAUAAGUUCUUUUAUAGUUUCGAAUUUGGUAACGGGUACCAUUAGAUUUUUAAGCAAAGGAUAUUAUAAGGUCGCUAGAGAGGCGAUAUAUGGUUAGCUAUGAUACAUAAAUUUAUAAAAAAUUUCAGAUGUAAGCUAAUAUUGAUAGACAAUGGAAUUGUAUUACACGGUUGGGAUCAAAACUUCAAGUUUACGUGGUGAGUUUAGAUUUUUGAUAGUGUAUCUUGUCAAGGAAUGAAUUGGUAAGGUAAGAAAUGGUUUAUCACAUUGAGUAUGAAGCAUAUAAAAGGACUUAAAAUUUGAGUAGUACAUUUGGUUACUUUUGAUUGUUAUACCUAAGGUUUCCCAUAUUGCUGGUCAAAAAUAUAAGACUAGUAAAUGAAUUAGCAAAAAGGAAAAAAAAUUAUGGUGUAUUGAAGAGUUAGAGUUAUUUGAAAUUUUCAUCAUGGAAAGAUUUUAAGAAAGGCAAAGGAACAAUAAGACCUCUCGUAUAAACACUGUAUUCGGAGUGAUGGUUGUAAUGAUUUCGUCUUUGAGUUUAGAUAUGACUAUGAGAUGUGACUAUGGGUUUAUUAUUAACUUUUCUAAAUAUUAAGUUUUGGUUGGGUUACAAUAAAUGACGUGUGGAAGAUUAUAUAUGGUUAUGUCGAGGUAGAUUGUUCAGAAUGUGAUAGGUAACAAAUGGAUGUUAAAUAGUGUGGACCUACAAUUUUACAUGGUUAAUGAGGAUCGAGGGGGGGGGGGAUUAAAAGUACUUUGCUGAUGAGACAAAAUAGAUUGUUAUAAUGUGUUACAUAGGCAUAUGAUGAUGAGUAGAGGUUAUGAGAUUAUAGUAUACAUAAAUAUUGGAAUGAUCAAGGAUUUCUUUGAGUUUUGGCAUGAGGUGCAUGAUGGUUGAAAAAUGACAUGUAAAAGUUUGUGCGACGUUGACAUUGGUGUGAUUAAGUUAUUGUACCUCGAUGGAAAAGUACUUAGAUUUGAAAUUAAUGCUAUCAAUCUUAGUUGUGACUCAUAUCUUGUCAUGGAAUGCUUAUAUAGAAGGAAAAAAAAGGGGCAUAUUAUGGAAUUUUUAAAGUAUACAACGUGUUUGCUAAAAAGACUUUGAUUCUAGUGACAGUUUGAGUGAGGUAAAUGGUUGGUGUAGUUAUGAUGUUUUUUUUGUAUUAUGAGUGUUAGCUUCAAUGGAGUAUUGAGAGAAGUACGUGGAGUUUGAUGAAUCGAGUAUUUGUUAUAAAGUGAUGGGGGAUCAAACUGGUUGAUUGUGGGUGGUGAAACAUCGAGAGAUGGAGAAAGAUGAAUGAAUUCUAUUAUAUGGGCCCUAUGGAAGGAAUAACUUAUUUUAUUCGACCUUGCUUCUGUGUAUUUUUAUGUAAUCACCUUCUUCGUGUUGAGCACUAUUAAAGUAUGAUUCCCUACUUAUAUUACGCGUGUUUUCACAUCUAUUGGUGAAUUCUUAGUGGUGGAUCAGAUGAAACGAUCCUCUUAUGUCCCUUGAGAUGAUGAGAUCCUUGGGCAGAAUUGAUCAUUUCAGCUAUGAUACGUUUGGUUUUGUUUGAAAGUUGGAGUAUAUAAGUAGUUUUACACGCACAACCGUACUUAUGAGAACUUAUAUAAGAGCUAUGAAGAGUUACUAAAAGUAUUGUUAGAUGUUCUACAUUUUGAAGUGUAUCACUUGUUGGGUGCUUACUUAAUUAUUUUUUCCUUUGAUGAGUAAUUGAUGUCUAAGAAAAAAAAAACAUAUUUUUAUAGUUAAAGCUUGUGGAAAAAUUAUGGUGGAGUAAGAUAAUCUUGAUAAGAUCUAUGAUAGUUGUGCAAUAUGAGUAUGUGGUGGUUAGUUCAGGUUCACAUCUGAUUGUAGUCAGUAUAGAUUCAGAACGUUAUCUUGGUAAUGUGAGGAAAGAUUCAUCCCAAUGAGUGUGUUGAGAUCUAGAGAAUUUUGGUUCGAUUGGAUUAUUGGGUUAGUUUAUAACUUGGUAAUAUUAUAUGCAAAAGUUUGAUUUGAAAGUUCAAUUUCUAGUAGUUGCCUUUGAUGAAAUGUUCUUAAGGAUGAGCUCACUUAGAGAGAUAAAUAAUAAUGAAAAUUAGAUCUCAAGCUUGGUAACAUCGGUUAUUCAUUUUUCUUUCACCUUAUGUUCGAGGACGAACAUGAUUUUUUGUGGAGGAUAAUGUAAUGACCCGGAAGGUCAUUUCAAAUAAAAAAAUUGAUUAUUCUUUUAACUUGAGUUAAUUAAUGAGUAAUUAUAGAUAAUUGACUUAAUUGAUAAUUAAUGGGCUAAAGUGAUAAUUUAUUUAACACCUUAUAAUAUUUAAUCCAUAUUUAUCAAAAAUAAGUUACUAGGGUUUGUCACAUAUAAUACAUAAUUAUUUUAAUCAGAAAAAAAAAGAGAAAAGAGAAGGGACGAAAACUUACCUGACCAGAGAACGACGAAGGAAAAGAGAACAAACUGCAUCAUCGUAAGAACAAUUCUUUUUCAUGUUCUCUUAGGCAUGCAUUAAUU
This 11084-nucleotide long non-coding RNA is filed under the name Solanum lycopersicum (tomato). RNAcentral describes it as "long non-coding RNA (SLYC_LNC000898)". Lineage: Eukaryota; Viridiplantae; Streptophyta; Magnoliopsida; Solanales; Solanaceae. The record is from RNAcentral.